GAAUGAACAGGCAAAAGCUCAGAUUUGAAACCCUCGGGAUUGUAAUCUGGAGACCUGUGAUUUGGCACGCUGACCAAGUCUUCUGGAACGGAGCGCCAUGGAGGGUGACAGCCCCGUAGCAGCAGCCACUGUAAAUCCGGGUCGACGAGUCGAGUUGUUUGGGAAUGCAGCUCUAAGUGGGUGGUAUGCUCCAUCUAAAGCUAAAUAUUGGCGAGAGACCGAUAGCGAACAAGUACUGUGAAGGAAAGAUGAAAAGAACUUUGAAAAGAGAGUGAAAAAGUACGUGAAAUUGUUGAAAUGGAAGGCAAUGAGGUGCGAUUGAACCGGACGUUUGCGGGCAGGACAAAAGCGCAGGCCGCCUCGGCAUUGCCUGCGUGCAUACUGCCUCGCGGACUACCAGUUCUAACAACGCCUUAUUGCACCCGUCUUGA
Molecule: ribosomal RNA, 431 nt
Filed under: Entelexis sorbosivorans
Lineage: Eukaryota; Fungi; Ascomycota; Dipodascomycetes; Dipodascales; Trichomonascaceae
Description: Starmerella sorbosivorans partial large subunit ribosomal RNA
Rfam family: Eukaryotic large subunit ribosomal RNA
Source: RNAcentral